GUAAGAUCCCUGAAAGAUGAUCAGGUUGAUAGGUCAGAGGUGGAAGCAUGGUGACAUGUGGAGCUGACUGAUACUAAUAGAUCGAGGACUUAACCUA
RNAcentral lists this ribosomal RNA (97 nucleotides) under Peribacillus simplex. Its description in RNAcentral is "Bacillus simplex 23S rRNA. Bacterial LSU". It matches the Rfam family "Bacterial large subunit ribosomal RNA", at positions 2828 to 2925 of the family's 2925-position model. Lineage: Bacteria; Bacillati; Bacillota; Bacilli; Caryophanales; Bacillaceae. The record is from RNAcentral.